CCCUUAGAUGUUCUGGGCCGCGCGCGCGCUACACUGAUGCAUUCAACGAGUUUCUUCCUGGUCCGAGAGGAAUGGGUAACCUUUUGAAAGUGCAUCGUGAUAGGGAUAGACUAUUGCAAUUAUUGGUCUUCAACGAGGAAUUCCUAGUAGACGUAGUUCAUCAGACUGCAUCGAUUACGUCCCUGCCCUUUGUACACACCGCCCGUCGCUCCUACCGAUUGAAUGCUCAGGUGAGCCAUUCGGACCUUCAUCAUGCCGGUUUCCGGUUUUGAUGAGGGAAAGUCUUGCGAACCUUAUCAUUUAGAGGAAGGAGAAGUCGUAACA
Molecule: ribosomal RNA, 324 nt
Filed under: uncultured eukaryote
Lineage: Eukaryota
Description: partial 18S ribosomal RNA
Rfam family: Eukaryotic small subunit ribosomal RNA
Source: RNAcentral